UACGUAGGGUGCGAGCGUUGUCCGGAAUUAUUGGGCGUAAAGGGCUCGUAGGCGGUUUGUCGCGUCGGGAGUGAAAUCCACUGGCUUAACUGGUGGCUUGCUUUCGAUACGGGCAGACUGGAGGUAUGCAGGGGAGAACGGAAUUCCUGGUGUAGCGGUGAAAUGCGCAGAUAUCAGGAGGAACACCGGUGGCGAAGGCGGUUCUCUGGGCAUGUCCUGACGCUGAGAAGCGAAAGCAUGGGGAGCGAACAGG
RNAcentral lists this ribosomal RNA (253 nucleotides) under uncultured bacterium. Its description in RNAcentral is "partial 16S ribosomal RNA". It matches the Rfam family "Bacterial small subunit ribosomal RNA", at positions 524 to 776 of the family's 1533-position model. The record is from RNAcentral.